Molecule: long non-coding RNA, 1132 nt
Filed under: Pongo abelii (Sumatran orangutan)
Lineage: Eukaryota; Metazoa; Chordata; Mammalia; Primates; Hominidae
Description: lincRNA
Source: RNAcentral
GGAAAUGACCGACCUAAUGUGUGUUAUAACCCAUCUGAGCCCUCUGCAACCACCGGUUUUGAAAUAAGAUUAAGAACUGGCCUUUUCCUAGGUGAUACAAGUAAAAUAAUAACUAGAACAGAAGAAAAAGGAAUCCCCAAACAAGUAACUUUAAGAUUUGAUGCUUGUGCAACCAUUAAUAGUAACAAGCUAGGAACAGGAUGUGGUUCUCUUAACUGGGAAAGGAGCUACAGAGUAGAAAAUAAAUAUGUUUGUCAUGAGUCAGGGGUUUGUGAAAAUUGUGCCUUUUGGCCAUGUGUUAUUUGGGCUACUUGGAAAAAGAACAAAAGGGACCCAGUUCAUCUUCAGAAGGGGGAAGCCAACCCCUCCUGUGCUGCUGGUCACUGUAACCCACUAGAACUAAUAAUUACCAAUCCCCUAGAUCCCCAUUGGAAAAAGGGAGAACACGUAACCCUGGGGAUCGAAGGGACAGGGUUAAACCCCCAGUUGCCAUUUUAGUUCAAGGGGAGGUCCACAAGCACUCUCCCAAACCAGUGUUUCAAACCUUUUCUGAGGAGCUGAAUCUGCCAGCACCAGAACUUCUGAAAAAGACAAAAAAUGUGUUUCUCCAAUUAGCAGAAAAUGUAGCUAAUUCCCUUAGUGUUACUUCUUGUUAUGUAUGUGGGGGAACCACUAUUGGAGACCGAUGGCCUUGGGAAGCCCGAGAGUUGGUGCCCACUGAUCCAGCUCCUGAUAUAAUGGGGGCUCAUCCAGGAUCUCAUCAGGACUGGAGGGCUCUCGCUGGACUAUACUGAAUAUGUGGGCACAGAGCCUACAUUUGGUUACCUAACGAAUGGGCAGGCAGUUGUGUUAUUGGCACUAUUAAGCCAUCCUUUUUCUUAUUAUCCAUAAAAACCACUGGUGUUACCUGUAAAUUCCAGACAUUGUAUGAGAAAGCACUGUAAAACUUUUUGUUCUGUUAGCUGAUGUAUGUAGCCCCCAGUCACAUUCCUUGAUCUAUCUGACCCUUUCACGUGGACCCCUUAGAGUUGUAAGCUCUUAAAAGGGCUAGGAAUUUCUUUUUUGGGGAGCUUGGCUCUUAAGACAUGAGUCUGCCGAUGCUACCGGCCGAAUAAAAACCUCUUCCUUCUUU